CGCCCGGCACCUGCGGCUGAGCCUCGGGGACGCCUCCCGGGGCUGGGGAAGGGGACGCGGAGGACGCUGUGAGCAGAGCCCUAAGUGCAGUGGGCCUGGGGCCUGGGCUCCGCCUGCUGACCCUGAGGUGCCCCAGCCUGGCCUGUGCAGGAUCGGGGGCCUGGGCUCCGUCUGCCGACACUGAGGUGUCCCAGCCUGGCCUGUGCAGGAUCGGGGGCCUGGGCUCCGUUUGCUGACCCUGAGGUGCCCCAGCCUGGCCUGUGCAGGAUCGGGGGCCUGGGCUCCGCCUGCCGACCCUGAGGUGCCCCAGCCUGGCCUGUGCAGGAUUGGGGAGGCCAGGAGGGUACAGAGGAAGGAGGAGGGCACUCUGCCUGGCUCUCACUUCAGGUGAGGAGACACCGUCCCGGGUCUGGAGCCACACAGGGACAGGGCUGGCCCAGAAACACAGAGACCGCUGUGGGAGCAGGGGGCUGCAGCGGCCACUGCAGAGGUGGGCUGGGCUGCACUUGCAGGUUGCAGCCAAGCUGGGGAGAGUGGCUGCCUGGCGAGGGCAGAUGGCCACAGCGGGGGCGGGCAGGGGCAGCUGGCGCCGCGGAGGGUUCCAGCUGCAGCAGCCGGGCGGAAGAGGCUGCGGUUUUGUGAGCACCUGUGAGUGGCGGGCUAGGGGACGUGCUCAUCAGGCAUCUCAGGAGACGUGAACCUGGAGUUAGGGGAGGUGUGCAGCAGGUACUUGGUGCUGUGUGGCUGCAGCACCCUGUCCCAGGGAGGGGCGAGUGGGUGUGGGGGCAGAGAAGAGGGGUGAGUGUGGCACCCCUGCACUUGGUGUAGGGAGAGAUCUGGGGUGCAGCACAGGUGACACACUCCAGGCGCCACUGGACUGUUCAGGGAGGACACGUUAAGGUGGGGGUGGCAUUGGCUGCUUUCAGCCAACAGCCAGAGCAGGGAGAGGAUACCAGGCGCUGGGGCGUGUCUGCAGGGCUCGGCCUUCAAUCCGAAUUCCCCUCCCGAGCUCCAGGCUUCCGUGUAGCUGCUACCUGUUACUUUGUCCACACACAAGGACCCAGGUCUCCUUUCCAUGCCUCUCUUUCGCAAAGACCAGCUUAGAGGCCCAGCUGCGAGGCAGGGAGCCUCCCCUGGGAGCUCAGUGGUUCUGGUGGAACUGGGUGACUGUAAGGAAGGCUCCUUGGUGGUGUCACAUUUUCUGUGUUCAUAUCUCAACCGGCUGUUGUGACCCGUCAGGUCAAGGCCCAGACUAAUUCCACGAUACGGAACACAAGCAGUUACCACCCAGGCCUCCUGACCCUCAGGAGGGGUGGGUGAGCUGCAGAGGGGCCACGGCCUGGGGCUAGAGCAUACUGUUUCUCCUGUGCAC
This is a non-coding RNA of Oryctolagus cuniculus (rabbit), 1372 nucleotides long. The record is from RefSeq and is a predicted model, not a curated record. Lineage: Eukaryota; Metazoa; Chordata; Mammalia; Lagomorpha; Leporidae.